RNAcentral lists this ribosomal RNA (1499 nucleotides) under metagenome. RNAcentral's name for it is "bacterial SSU rRNA". It matches the Rfam family "Bacterial small subunit ribosomal RNA". The record is from RNAcentral.
GAGUUUGAUCAUGGCUCAGAUUGAACGCUGGCGGCAGGCCUAACACAUGCAAGUCGAACGGUAACAGGAAGCAGCUUGCUGCUUCGCUGACGAGUGGCGGACGGGUGAGUAAUGUCUGGGAAGCUGCCUGAUGGAGGGGGAUAACUACUGGAAACGGUAGCUAAUACCGCAUAAUGUCGCAAGACCAAAGAGGGGGACCUUCGGGCCUCUUGCCAUCGGAUGUGCCCAGAUGGGAUUAGCUUGUUGGUGGGGUAACGGCUCACCAAGGCGACGAUCCCUAGCUGGUCUGAGAGGAUGACCAGCCACACUGGAACUGAGACACGGUCCAGACUCCUACGGGAGGCAGCAGUGGGGAAUAUUGCACAAUGGGCGCAAGCCUGAUGCAGCCAUGCCGCGUGUAUGAAGAAGGCCUUCGGGUUGUAAAGUACUUUCAGCGGGGAGGAAGGGAGUAAAGUUAAUACCUUUGCUCAUUGACGUUACCCGCAGAAGAAGCACCGGCUAACUCCGUGCCAGCAGCCGCGGUAAUACGGAGGGUGCAAGCGUUAAUCGGAAUUACUGGGCGUAAAGCGCACGCAGGCGGUUUGUUAAGUCAGAUGUGAAAUCCCCGGGCUCAACCUGGGAACUGCAUCUGAUACUGGCAAGCUUGAGUCUCGUAGAGGGGGGUAGAAUUCCAGGUGUAGCGGUGAAAUGCGUAGAGAUCUGGAGGAAUACCGGUGGCGAAGGCGGCCCCCUGGACGAAGACUGACGCUCAGGUGCGAAAGCGUGGGGAGCAAACAGGAUUAGAUACCCUGGUAGUCCACGCCGUAAACGAUGUCGACUUGGAGGUUGUGCCCUUGAGGCGUGGCUUCCGGAGCUAACGCGUUAAGUCGACCGCCUGGGGAGUACGGCCGCAAGGUUAAAACUCAAAUAAAUUGACGGGGGCCCGCACAAGCGGUGGAGCAUGUGGUUUAAUUCGAUGCAACGCGAAGAACCUUACCUGGUCUUGACAUCCACGGAAGUUUUCAGAGAUGAGAAUGUGCCUUCGGGAACCGUGAGACAGGUGCUGCAUGGCUGUCGUCAGCUCGUGUUGUGAAAUGUUGGGUUAAGUCCCGCAACGAGCGCAACCCUUAUCCUUUGUUGCCAGCGGUCCGGCCGGGAACUCAAAGGAGACUGCCAGUGAUAAACUGGAGGAAGGUGGGGAUGACGUCAAGUCAUCAUGGCCCUUACGACCAGGGCUACACACGUGCUACAAUGGCGCAUACAAAGAGAAGCGACCUCGCGAGAGCAAGCGGACCUCAUAAAGUGCGUCGUAGUCCGGAUUGGAGUCUGCAACUCGACUCCAUGAACUCGGAAUCGCUAGUAAUCGUGGAUCAGAAUGCCACGGUGAAUACGUUCCCGGGCCUUGUACACACCGCCCGUCACACCAUGGGAGUGGGUUGCAAAAGAAGUAGGUAGCUUAACCUUCGGGAGGGCGCUUACCACUUUGUGAUUCAUGACUGGGGUGAAGUCGUAACAAGGUA